AUGAGCUCUUGGCAGGAGAACACCAGCCCCUGCAACUGGACGGGCUUAAUGUGCACGGCUGUUCGCCAUGGCCGCCGCAUCCCCUGGGUGGUGACCAACAUCUCUCUGCCGGAUGCUGGCAUCCAUGGAAAGCUUGGUGAGCUCAACUUUUCGGCUCUUCCAUUCCUCCCAUAUAUCGACCUUCAUAACAAUAGUCUCCAUGGUGCACUGCCCACUAGUAUCAGCUCGCUGUCAGCACUUUUAGAACUCAUCCUUGAGCAGAACCAGCUCGUAGGGAAAAUUCCUUGUGAGAUUGGUGACCUGCAAAGUCUCAUGUUGUUUGAUCUCUCAUUUAACAAACUCACAGGACAUAUCCCUGCAUCUCUUGGUAACAUAACAAUGUUAAGUCAACUUGGCAUUCACCAAAACAUGGUAUCAGGUCUCAUUCCUGAAGAGAUUGGAAGGCUUGUCAACCUCCAAGUUUUGCAACUAAGCAACAACAACUUAAGCGGUUUGAUACCGAAAACCAUUGGUAAUCUGACCAAGCUAAAUAUUUUGUACCUAUUUGGUAAUCAUCUUUCAGGACCUAUACGAAAAGAACUAGGCAUGCUAGUCCAUAUGCAAUAUCUUGAGCUUAAUUCAAAUGAUUUAUCGGGGCCAAUUCCAGUCUCCAUAACCAAUCUCACUAAGAUGAACACACUUUUUCUCUAUGAUAAUCAAAUCACAGGUUCCAUCCCCCCAACAAUAGGAAAUCUUAAUAUGCUGAAUAUACUUUGUCUCUAUCGAAAUCAAAUAACUGGUUCAAUACCCCCAGGACUAGGAAACCUCACUUUGCUAAAUAAGCUUUUUCUCUAUACAAAUAAAAUCACAGGGUCGAUGCCUUCAAAAGUGGGCGGCUUGCUGAAUCUCCAAGGAUUAUACUUGUUCGAGAAUCAAAUAUUUGGCUCUCUUCCUGACAGAUUAGGAAAUAUUACCAAGUUACUUUGCAUUAUCCCUCUCUGA
RNAcentral lists this ribosomal RNA (981 nucleotides) under Triticum aestivum (bread wheat). Its description in RNAcentral is "partial small subunit ribosomal RNA". Lineage: Eukaryota; Viridiplantae; Streptophyta; Magnoliopsida; Poales; Poaceae. The record is from RNAcentral.